RNAcentral lists this transfer RNA (76 nucleotides) under Desulfuromonas sp. RNAcentral describes it as "tRNA-His". It matches the Rfam family "tRNA". Rfam says of the family: Transfer RNA (tRNA) molecules are approximately 80 nucleotides in length. Their secondary structure includes four short double-helical elements and three loops (D, anti-codon, and T loops). RNAcentral also lists the same sequence under 1 other name. Lineage: Bacteria; Pseudomonadati; Thermodesulfobacteriota; Desulfuromonadia; Desulfuromonadales; Desulfuromonadaceae. The record is from RNAcentral.
GUGGGUGUAGCUCAGUUGGUAGAGCACAGGAUUGUGGCUCCUGUUGUCGUGGGUUCGAUUCCCAUCAUCCACCCCA